This 468-nucleotide ribosomal RNA is filed under the name uncultured bacterium. Its description in RNAcentral is "partial 16S ribosomal RNA". It matches the Rfam family "Bacterial small subunit ribosomal RNA", at positions 28 to 507 of the family's 1533-position model. The record is from RNAcentral.
GACGAACGCUGGCGGCGUGCUUAACACAUGCAAGUCGAACGGAAAGGCCCUGCUUUUGUGGGGUGCUCGAGUGGCGAACGGGUGAGUAACACGUGAGUAACCUGCCCUUGACUUUGGGAUAACUUCAGGAAACUGGGGCUCAUACCGGAUAGGAGCUCCUGCUGCAUGGUGGGGGUUGGAAAGUUUCGGCGGUUGGGGCUGGACUCGCGGCUUAUCAGCUUGUUGGUGGGGUAGUGGCUUACCAAGGCUUUGACGGGUAGCCGGCCUGAGAGGGUGACCGGCCACAUUGGGACUGAGAUACGGACCAGACUCCUACGGGAGGCAGCAGUGGGGAAUAUGGCACAAUGGGCGGAAGCCUGAUGCAGAAACGCCGCGUGCGGGAUGACGGCCUUCGGGUUAUAAACCGCUUUCGCCUGUGACGAAGCGUGAGUGACGGUAAUGGGUAAAGAAGCACCGGCUAACUACGUG